This 392-nucleotide ribosomal RNA is filed under the name uncultured bacterium. RNAcentral's name for it is "partial 16S ribosomal RNA". It matches the Rfam family "Bacterial small subunit ribosomal RNA", at positions 523 to 918 of the family's 1533-position model. The record is from RNAcentral.
ACACGUAGGGGGCGAGCGUUGUUCGGAAUCAUUGGGCGUAAAGGGCGCGCAGGCGGCGAGGCAAGUCCGGUGUGAAAGUGCUCGGCUCAACCGAGUGAUGCGCUGGAAACUGCCCUGCUUGAGUACAGGAGGGGACGUCGGAAUUCCAGGUGUCGGGGUGAAAUCUGUAGAUAUCUGGAAGAACACCGGUGGCGAAGGCGGACGUCUGGCCAUGUACUGACGCUGAGGCGCGAAGGUGCGGGGAGCGAACAGGUUUAGAUACCCUGGUAGUCCGCACAGUAAACGAUGUGCACCAGGUGGCGGGGGGUAGCCCUCGGUACCGAAGCCAACGCAUUAAGUGCACCGCCUGGGGAGUAUGCUCGCAAGGGUGAAACUCAAAUGAAUUGACGGGG